Anolis carolinensis (green anole) is the source of this 1823-nucleotide long non-coding RNA. RefSeq lists it as uncharacterized. The transcript is spliced from 3 exons. The record is from RefSeq and is a predicted model, not a curated record. NCBI's taxonomy places the organism in Eukaryota, Metazoa, Chordata, Lepidosauria, Squamata, Anolidae.
UUAAAAAUGCUGAUAAGAGCCGAUGACACCUGUUGUUUCACACUUAUUUUGCUCAACCUUGUCUGUUAAAUCCCAGCUUUUAUUACAUUAAUUCUCUUCAGCUUUUCUUCUGUUUCAGCUUUAGCCCUCUCACUCUGGUGAGCAUGUAAACUUAUAGUAUGUCUUGAAAGCUACAUUUUAUUGAGCAAACAUAUCAGCAUGUCUACACACCAAAGACAUCACUAUAGCAGAAGCAACUGUAGUUAAGGGGAGUCUUGCCAAGUCUAGAGGCUGAAAACACAAAAGGUCUUGGGAUCUGCAAGCACUUUACAGGUCAAUGGGUGAGAAGCUUUUUCCUAUGAUGGCCCCUGGAGGAAUGGAAUACGCCUUAACAUGCACUUCACCACACCUAGAAGGAGCACCGACAAGAGCCGGAGUGCGUUUCUGCCGGCAAAAUUAUGCAGGCACAAACCUGGGUGGCUUGUGUUGUCACCAGACGAACAUUGUCGUGAUGAUACGUAAUUGCUACUUUCCAAAGAAUGUCUGCUUUAAGUACUUCCUAACCAUCAGUAAUUUCUCCUCUGAAGCAUUUAAUAAAUAUAAUGUCCAAUAUGGAUUUUGUUUCUGGGCAGAAAAAUUUUAAGAUUUCAUACAGAAGUUUUCUGUUGACAGCUGUAGGGCAUGGAAGACAGAACUCUAUGAGCAGAACGGGCCCUCCUGCUUUUGGGUAAAAAUACAUGUUUUGAACUACAAAAUGCACCAGGAUUCAUAAAUGACUGUAAAUCCCAGAUCAUACAUAUUUGCAUUCAUAGUAUCAUCUUGGGAUAUUUCUACACUGGAGUCCCGUUCCCCCACCCCACUCCAGUAAUAGUACAAUUUUAAUCUGUUCAUUCUUAAUUGGUUUUAAGAGUUUUAACUGUUUAUUUUUAAUACUGUUAAUAGUUAAUUCUAUUUUAAUGUUUGUAUAUAUUAGGAUUUUAAAUUUUGUGUUGGUUUUACUGUAAUCUGCUUUGAGUCUCUUUUGGUAGAAAAAGUGGGACAAUAACAACAACAACAACAACAUUAAUAAUUACCUAAAAUUUUAGAUUGCAUGCUUUUCAAAAUAUUAAAUUCUUAAGCUUACCCCACUGCCCCAUUCCUAAGGGCCAAUAUGUAUAAUAAGCUUUAGAAGCAAACUGAUAUUAGGAUUUUGUAUGCCCUGUUGUAACUGUGUACAGUGGUGCUUUUUGCCCACCCAGUGAAUGUUUGUUUUGCCACCCUUCUCCCAUAAUGAUCAAUAUGCGUUUUAUGUUUUUCUGGUGUCAGUUUCUUCUUGAAAACUUAUUACUAUGUUCACCAAACAAGUGGGUAAGAACCCACUCAAAAACUCAAAUAAGACGAUCAUUAUACCCUGGUUUUAUCACUCAGUUUGGAAAUGGGUGAAAUGCCAUGAGGCUAUUGCUCGCAACAACCUUCAUAUUCUGCUGGGGUCUUGUAUUAGCGGCAUACCUCCAGUUCACUACUAUGCCUUCCAGACUGAAGUGAAGUGAGGUGAGCAACAGCUCCAGUUACAAGGAAAAAUCCACAUAGACAUUGAUGACACUGACAAGGCUUCCCUCUGCACUGUCCAGUGCUUCCCUCUGUUUUGCAAGGAGUCAUCUCUUCUUCGUAGUGACCUUCCUUGUCCUCCCAUAGGCUAACUAGACGGCAGUUCCCUUUCAAAGGAGUCCUAACUGGCAGAGGAGGGCUGCCAUAUUUAUCAGACAUCAAAAUGGUGAUUAAAAGAAUAUACAGGAACUAGAUAAUGUUCAACUGACACAGAAUCACGUCAGUAUUAUAUGAAUGCAUAGCAUUUUUUUCUUCUA